RNAcentral lists this ribosomal RNA (1330 nucleotides) under Streptococcus thermophilus. RNAcentral's name for it is "bacterial SSU rRNA". It matches the Rfam family "Bacterial small subunit ribosomal RNA", at positions 92 to 1411 of the family's 1533-position model. Lineage: Bacteria; Bacillati; Bacillota; Bacilli; Lactobacillales; Streptococcaceae. The record is from RNAcentral.
UGAGUUGCGAACGGGUGAGUAACGCGUAGGUAACCUGCCUUGUAGCGGGGGAUAACUAUUGGAAACGAUAGCUAAUACCGCAUAACAAUGGAUGACACAUGUCAUUUAUUUGAAAGGGGCAAUUGCUCCACUACAAGAUGGACCUGCGUUGUAUUAGCUAGUAGGUGAGGUAAUGGCUCACCUAGGCGACGAUACAUAGCCGACCUGAGAGGGUGAUCGGCCACACUGGGACUGAGACACGGCCCAGACUCCUACGGGAGGCAGCAGUAGGGAAUCUUCGGCAAUGGGGGCAACCCUGACCGAGCAACGCCGCGUGAGUGAAGAAGGUUUUCGGAUCGUAAAGCUCUGUUGUAAGUCAAGAACGGGUGUGAGAGUGGAAAGUUCACACUGUGACGGUAGCUUACCAGAAAGGGACGGCUAACUACGUGCCAGCAGCCGCGGUAAUACGUAGGUCCCGAGCGUUGUCCGGAUUUAUUGGGCGUAAAGCGAGCGCAGGCGGUUUGAUAAGUCUGAAGUUAAAGGCUGUGGCUCAACCAUAGUUCGCUUUGGAAACUGUCAAACUUGAGUGCAGAAGGGGAGAGUGGAAUUCCAUGUGUAGCGGUGAAAUGCGUAGAUAUAUGGAGGAACACCGGUGGCGAAAGCGGCUCUCUGGUCUGUAACUGACGCUGAGGCUCGAAAGCGUGGGGAGCGAACAGGAUUAGAUACCCUGGUAGUCCACGCCGUAAACGAUGAGUGCUAGGUGUUGGAUCCUUUCCGGGAUUCAGUGCCGCAGCUAACGCAUUAAGCACUCCGCCUGGGGAGUACGACCGCAAGGUUGAAACUCAAAGGAAUUGACGGGGGCCCGCACAAGCGGUGGAGCAUGUGGUUUAAUUCGAAGCAACGCGAAGAACCUUACCAGGUCUUGACAUCCCGAUGCUAUUUCUAGAGAUAGAAAGUUACUUCGGUACAUCGGUGACAGGUGGUGCAUGGUUGUCGUCAGCUCGUGUCGUGAGAUGUUGGGUUAAGUCCCGCAACGAGCGCAACCCCUAUUGUUAGUUGCCAUCAUUCAGUUGGGCACUCUAGCGAGACUGCCGGUAAUAAACCGGAGGAAGGUGGGGAUGACGUCAAAUCAUCAUGCCCCUUAUGACCUGGGCUACACACGUGCUACAAUGGUUGGUACAACGAGUUGCGAGUCGGUGACGGCGAGCUAAUCUCUUAAAGCCAAUCUCAGUUCGGAUUGUAGGCUGCAACUCGCCUACAUGAAGUCGGAAUCGCUAGUAAUCGCGGAUCAGCACGCCGCGGUGAAUACGUUCCCGGGCCUUGUACACACCGCCCGUCACACCACGAGAGU